RNAcentral lists this ribosomal RNA (510 nucleotides) under uncultured bacterium. RNAcentral's name for it is "partial 16S ribosomal RNA". It matches the Rfam family "Bacterial small subunit ribosomal RNA", at positions 28 to 507 of the family's 1533-position model. The record is from RNAcentral.
GACGAACGCUGGCGGCGUGCUUAACACAUGCAAGUCGAACGAAGAGCGAUGGAAUCUUGCUUCUAUCAAUCUUAGUGGCGAACGGGUGAGUAACGCGUAAUCAACCUGCCCUUCAGAGGGGGACAACAGUUGGAAACGACUGCUAAUACCGCAUACGAUCUAACCUCGGCAUCGUGGAAAGAUGAAAGGUGGCCUCUAUGUAUAAGCUAUCACUGAAGGAGGGGAUUGCGUCUGAUUAGCUAGUUGGAGGGGUAACGGCCCACCAAGGCGAUGAUCAGUAGCCGGUCUGAGAGGAUGAACGGCCACAUUGGGACUGAGACACGGCCCAGACCCCUACGGGAGGCAGCAGUGGGGAGUCUUCCGCAAUGGACGAAAGGCUGACGGAGCAACGCCGCGUGAGUGAUGACGGCCUUCGGGUUGUAAAGCUCUGUUAAUCGGGACGAAAGGCCUUCUUGCGAAUAGUGAGAAGGAUUGACGGUACCGGAAUAGAAAGCCACGGCUAACUACGUG